AUAUAUCAAUCUGCCCAGAGUAACAACAACCACGAUUUUUGGUUUGGAUUGUGAUACCGAGUAUAGUGUACAAGUUCGAGCAUGUUACCAUGGCAACACAAAUUGCAGCGUGUACAGCAAGAUUAGAGUUAUCACGGUCCACCAUGUCGAUAUUGAUCGCCAAACAGGUGAUGUUAACUAUCGUCUUCCUCUGUGGAUCAGUCUUGGCAUUGGCGUGCCAUUAAUCCUUGUACUUUUCAUAGUGUCUCUGUAUUGUGUUUGCAGGAAAAAAAAGAAGUCCCUCGAGCCGCUCACAGAGAAUGACAUCGACCGGUAUUAUAAUCCAGAUGGUAAAGAGUUGUCUGAAGUGGGAGAAUAUUGGAGGCUAGAGGAUGAUGCGGAAAACAAAUCCGAACAAGCUAGUUCCUAGGCUCACAAGAAACAAGACUGGAUUAUAAGGAGUAAGACUACGGUAUAUCUAUAUGGUUUCAAGCGAGCCUUUUACAAAAACAUUGGGAACGGCAAACUAAAAUGGGAAGAACUGGGCAAGAAAUCCUUGAUAUCGAAGUGGCAUUCAACAACAGACCGCUGACGUACUUAGAAGAUGAUGUCGAACUAGCCAUCCUCACCCCUAACACCAUUUUGAACAUCAACCCAAGCGUUUUACCCAAGAUGAAAUCUCACCUCAUCGACGAAAAGAACUUACGGAAACGAGCCAAAUUUCUCAAGAAGUGCAAAGAAACCAUGUGGAGGCGGUGGUCAAGAGAAUACAUUAGGGGUUUACGUGAACGCCAUCGAUAGGUAAGCCAGAAGAAUGCCUUACAUUCUAAGACCAGAGACGGGACG
Long non-coding RNA from Dendronephthya gigantea, 825 nucleotides. RefSeq lists it as uncharacterized. The record is from RefSeq and is a predicted model, not a curated record. NCBI's taxonomy places the organism in Eukaryota, Metazoa, Cnidaria, Anthozoa, Malacalcyonacea, Nephtheidae. The transcript is spliced from 5 exons.